RNAcentral lists this ribosomal RNA (119 nucleotides) under Hordeum vulgare subsp. vulgare (domesticated barley). The record is from RNAcentral. Lineage: Eukaryota; Viridiplantae; Streptophyta; Magnoliopsida; Poales; Poaceae.
GGAUGCGAUCAUACCAGCACUAAAGCACCGGAUCCCAUCAGAACUCCGAAGUUAAGCGUGUUUGGGCGAGAGUAGUACUAGGAUGGGUGACCUCCUGGGAAGUCCUUGGGAUGCAUUCC